Molecule: ribosomal RNA, 490 nt
Filed under: uncultured bacterium
Lineage: Bacteria
Description: partial 16S ribosomal RNA
Rfam family: Bacterial small subunit ribosomal RNA
Source: RNAcentral
AUUGAACGCUGGCGGCAGGCCUAACACAUGCAAGUCGAACGGUAACAGGAAGCAGCUUGCUGCUUCGCUGACGAGUGGCGGACGGGUGGGUAAUGUCUGGGAAACUGCCUGAUGGAGGGGGAUAACUACUGGAAACGGUAGCUAAUACCGCAUAACGUCGCAAGACCAAAGAGGGGGACCUUAGGGCCUCUUGCCAUCGGAUGUGCCCAGAUGGGAUUAGCUAGUAGGUGGGGUAACGGCUCACCUAGGCGACGAUCCCUAGCUGGUCUGAGAGGAUGACCAGCCACACUGGAACUGAGACACGGUCCAGACUCCUAUGGGAGGCAGCAGUGGGGAAUAUUGCACAAUGGGCGCAAGCCUGAUGCAGCCAUGCCGCGUGUAUGAAGAAGGCCUUCGGGUUGUAAAGUACUUUCAGCGGGGAGGAAGGGAGUAAAGUUAAUACCUUUGCUCAUUGACGUUACCCGCAGAAGAAGCACCGGCUAACUCCGUG